UAGAGCUUGAUCCUGGCUCAGAACGAACGCUGGCGGCGUGCCUAACACAUGCAAGUCGAACGGUAACAGGGACUUCGGUCCGCUGACGAGUGGCGCACGGGUGAGUAACGCGUGGGGCUACCUGCCCAUCAGUGAGGAACAACCUGGAGAAAUCCAGGCUAAUACCGCAUACGACCUUCGGGUGAAAGAGGGGGACUCUUCGGAACCUCUCGCUGAUGGAUGGUCCCGCGUCUGAUUAGCUAGUUGGUAAGGUAACGGCUUACCAAGGCGAUGAUCAGUAGCUGGUCUGAGAGGAUGAUCAGUCACACUGGAACUGAGACACGGUCCAGACUCCUACGGGAGGCAGCAGUGGGGAAUUUUGCACAAUGGGCGAAAGCCUGAUGCAGCGACGCCGCGUGCGGGAAGAAGGCCUUCGGGUUGUAAACCGCUUUCAACAGGGAAGAAGGAAUGAGGGCCAAUACCCCUCUGCCUUGACGGUACCUGUAGAAGAAGCCCCGGCUAAUUUCGUGCCAGCAGCCGCGGUAAUACGAAAGGGGCAAGCGUUGUUCGGAUUUACUGGGCGUAAAGAGAUCGUAGGUGGCUUGUUAAGUCGGAUGUGAAAUCCCGGGGCUCAACCCCGGAACUGCAUUCGAUACUGGCAGGCUUGAGUUCGGGAGGGGUAAGCGGAAUUCCGUGUGUAGCAGUGAAAUGCGUAGAUAUACGGAGGAACACCUGAGGCGAAGGCGGCUUACUGGACCGAUACUGACACUGAGGAUCGAAAGCGUGGGUAGCAAACAGGAUUAGAUACCCUGGUAGUCCACGCCCUAAACGAUGUCUACUAGCCGUUGCGGGUAUCGACCCCUACAGUGGCA
RNAcentral lists this ribosomal RNA (851 nucleotides) under uncultured bacterium. Its description in RNAcentral is "bacterial SSU rRNA". It matches the Rfam family "Bacterial small subunit ribosomal RNA", at positions 1 to 848 of the family's 1533-position model. The record is from RNAcentral.